UGUGGCGCGGCGUCCACCUCGGUCAGCAGUACUGCAGUGUCCUACGUCGUUUGGUUAAGGUUUAGGUGACGAGCCUAAUUAAAGCAUACUGAGAGGCUACUUCUACUACGUACCUGCCGCGCCGGCCGGCCGGCUCCGGUAGGAACCAUUUUAAAACGAAUCCUGUCAAGAUCAUCAUCUGGUAGCCUGACUGAACUGAAAUUAAGAAGCGGCUCAAUUUGUUCAUCAGCGUGCGUGCAUGUAUAGUUGUAUACCCUAGCUAGUUUCAACUUGUC
This 275-nucleotide long non-coding RNA is filed under the name Zea mays. Its description in RNAcentral is "long non-coding RNA (ZMAY_LNC004006)". Lineage: Eukaryota; Viridiplantae; Streptophyta; Magnoliopsida; Poales; Poaceae. The record is from RNAcentral.